Daphnia magna is the source of this 1352-nucleotide long non-coding RNA. RefSeq lists it as uncharacterized. The transcript is spliced from 6 exons. The record is from RefSeq and is a predicted model, not a curated record. Lineage: Eukaryota; Metazoa; Arthropoda; Branchiopoda; Diplostraca; Daphniidae.
AUCGUAGACGAAAAGCAUUUUUUAAAAUUGCUAUUGCGCCGAGAUAAAAUUGACGAUUCUUCAACCCAAUGAUGAACAGCAAAAUGAUUUACGGAGAAAUUAAAGGAGAUUGCCGUGAAAAGCAAGUAUUACAGAUUUUUUGUGGAUUGUUGUCAUCGGGCUUGUAGCUUCAAUCAGAGUGACAUGAAAUCGUAUAAAUAGCAAAACAGAGGUGUCUGAAUACAGUCGAAUGAGUUCUUUCUGCGACACGGUAGAAAUGGCAUAUAGCAUUUGCCAUCAGCUGCAAUUUAAAUUGUCCAUCAGCUUACAAUUAUAGAUAACUACGCUACGAUUUCAAGCUUAUGCUGGUUGGUAGUUAUCUCUUUGAUGGUUGGAACGACCGUGAGUGUACCCAUGGACUCGUCUUUCUCCCAGCAAUAUACGACGUCUGCGCCCUCAAAACAUCACGACGUACUGCUCCCCUAUAUACUUCAACACCAAGGUGUCAUAGAACUGCGCAACGAAAAACACGAGCAUGACCAAAUCGCCGUAGUACUACACAAAUCACAUGUGUAUCUCGCAAACACUACACCAAGAAGCGCCUGAAUACUAAACCCCACGUAUAUCACUCCCAGCUACUAUGCUGAAGCUCCAAAAUAGUGAUUGCCUUCAAGUUACUAUACGGAAGUUUAGGUUUACCACAUUUCAAUGGAUCGCCUCACCAUUCUUCCAUUCCAUGUUGCGGGCACACAGGCCGCAACAAAAACAGAUUAAGAUCACGUGUCUAUUGUGAAAGAGAUCAUGUGUCUCAACGAAAAUGGCUCUCUCUGUUUGCGUCAUCAGACCUCCCCAGUGUGUCAUUCUGAUGCAGAGCUCUUGAAAUCAAGUUGAAUGUUUUGAAACAUCUCAGGCCAAAGCUGAAGUUCUAGAGGUAUUAGAAAAGUCGUCACUCAGUAAAGUAAUUGACCAAAUGCCGACUCGACGAUUUCCAUGCAAGAUGAAUGUUAUAAAUCCAAGGAGAUCUGGUGAGCAGGAUUCAACGGACUAUUUCAUGUCAAACCAUUAGCUGAAUACAAUGAAUACCAUCAGUUCCCCAGAACGAGAGGUUAAAAAUCAUACUGAAUCACAAGAGGCAUCAAGUUAAACGAGAUUUUAAAAUGAUAACAGUUGGAAACGCAUGUGGAAAUUUCGAUGAACGCUACCUAAACGUUACCUUUAGUCACUGAUUCAUCUCGAAGAUAAAAUAAGUUAUUUUUAUAAAUUGAAGUGCAUAUCUGGGCUCCCUUCUUUUCUGUGGCCCCGUUUCCCCUUGACUUAUGAUAAGCCCGUAGGGGGUCAUGCCCCUACUGUGAUCAGCAGCAAAGGUUGUGAGU